This 219-nucleotide ribosomal RNA is filed under the name Leptogium hibernicum. RNAcentral describes it as "partial small subunit ribosomal RNA". The record is from RNAcentral. Lineage: Eukaryota; Fungi; Ascomycota; Lecanoromycetes; Peltigerales; Collemataceae.
CCGUUUCUGAAACCAGUAGUGAAGUAUGUUGUUUAAUUAGAUUAUACACAAAAAACCUUACCACAAAAAAAAAAUACAUUUGAAUAUUUUACCGGUGUUGCACGGCUGUUUUUAGUUAAUGUCGUGAGAUUGUGGUUUGUUCCAUUAAAUUAACGUAAACCCUUAGUUUAUUUUUUUUAUAUAAAGUAGUUCGCCGUUAUAUUGGUGAGAUAAAAGGGA